Long non-coding RNA from Neodiprion fabricii, 202 nucleotides. RefSeq lists it as uncharacterized. The transcript has 3 exons. Lineage: Eukaryota; Metazoa; Arthropoda; Insecta; Hymenoptera; Diprionidae. The record is from RefSeq and is a predicted model, not a curated record.
ACACGACGCUUUUCCAAUAUCUUAAACUUAGUAUGACAAAAAAUGGAGUUGAAGCUCGCUGAACUUUUGGGCAGAGUAACGUUGUAUGAAAGUUUUAAUGCAAAAGGCUAAAGUAUUUUACCGCGAGACUGUACCGGAACUAGAUGACGAAUCUGGAGGUAGAAAACAAGAGAGCGAUCGAGUGAUCGGUCGCCCUUUUUAU